UGGGGAAUAUUGCGCAAUGGGGGAAACCCUGACGCAGCAACGCCGCGUGAAGGAUGAAGGUUUUCGGAUUGUAAACUUCUUUGAUUGGGGACGAUAAUGACGGUACCCAAAAAACAAGCCACGGCUAACUACGUGCCAGCAGCCGCGGUAAUACGUAGGUGGCAAGCGUUGUCCGGAAUUACUGGGUGUAAAGGGCGUGUAGGCGGGGAUGCAAGUCAGAUGUGAAAUUCCGGGGCUCAACCCCGGCACUGCAUCUGAAACUGUGUCUCUUGAGUGCUGGAGAGGAAAGCGGAAUUCCUAGUGUAGCGGUGAAAUGCGUAGAUAUUAGGAGGAACACCAGUGGCGAAGGCGGCUUUCUGGACAGUAACUGACGCUGAGGCGCGAAAGCGUGGGUAGCGAACAGG
This 404-nucleotide ribosomal RNA is filed under the name uncultured prokaryote. RNAcentral's name for it is "bacterial SSU rRNA". It matches the Rfam family "Bacterial small subunit ribosomal RNA", at positions 355 to 776 of the family's 1533-position model. The record is from RNAcentral. RNAcentral also lists the same sequence under 1 other name.